Molecule: long non-coding RNA, 4118 nt
Filed under: Homo sapiens (human)
Lineage: Eukaryota; Metazoa; Chordata; Mammalia; Primates; Hominidae
Description: HSALNT0177458
Source: RNAcentral
CACCAGGAUCCAGCCAUGCCUGAGGCAGGAUCACACCAGGAUCCAGCCAUGCCUGAGGUGAGAUCACAUCAGGAUUCAGCCAUGCCUGAGGCAGGAUCACACCAGGAUCCAGCCAUGCCUGAGGAAGGAUCACACCAGGAUCCAGCUAUGUCUGAUGCGACAUCACACCAGGAUCCAGCCAUGCCUGACACAAGACCAUGCCAUGGAUGUUCUAAUUGUGCAUGCCAUAACCUCUGAGAAGGAGCAUGCUUAAUAAAUCACCCAGAUGUUGAACAGCAGAGUAUGAAAUUCCUGCGUUCCUCUCCAGCCACCCUGGGUCACGCAGGGAUCUGAUCCAAGGUAAGGAUGACUGUGAGGGUAGGGCGGGGGGAAUCUUGUUUCCUGUAAUGCAGCUCCCUGGAGAGGGCAGCAGCUCCCUGGAGAGGGCAGCAACUCUUCUAGGAAGGCUGGGACCGCCUCCUCAGAUCGGGGAGGACGACCUCCUUCAGGCAGAAGAAGCCCCUGGGUGGUUCUUCACGGUUUGGCUGGUUGGGGUCAGGAUCUGUCCUGUGUCUUCCGGGAAUUUCCGAAUGUCUCCUUUUCCAUGGAUGGAUGUGCAGCCUCUUACAAGGAAUGCCUGGCUCAUGGUGAGUGCUCAGAAAUGUUUGUGGAGUGAAUAACAGACCCAUGAAGCUGUGAAUUCCACAGGCGUCUGAUCUAGCCAACUGCAGAAGUGCAUCGUGAGAGUUGCUUUUCCCAAAUCAAUCAGCGCCCAGGCUACAAAAACAGGCAGAGGAGGUGGUUCUUCCAGCACUGCAUAGGAAGUCUUAGGUUUCGGCCGGGCGUGGUGGCUCACGCCUGUAGUCCUUGCACUUCAGGAGGCCGAGGCGGGUGGAUCAAGGAGUCAGGAGUUCAAGAACAGCCUGGCCAAAAUGGUGAAACCCCGUCUCUACUAAAAAUAAAAAAAAAAUUAGCAGGGUGUGGUGGCAGGUGCCUGUAAUCCCAGCUACUCGGGAGGCUGAGGCAGAGAAUUGCUUGAACCUGGGAGGUGGAGGUUGCAGUGAGCCGAGAUCACGCCAUUGCACUCCAGCCUGGGCGACAGAAUGAGACUCUCUCUCUCUCUCUCUCAAAAAAAAAAAAAAAAAAAAAAAAAAAGUCUUCAGCUUCAGUCUGAAUCUCAAAAUAAGAAGUUAGAGGCUGACUUGUCACUAUGUUGAGUAAGGUAUGCAGGGCAGUCAGAUGCCGCCACCCUGGCCCAGGGCCUGAGUAUUCUCCUGCUUUUCAUGAACGUGUAUGGCAGCAGCUGCAAGCCCAGUAUCGACCCUCAAGCUGUCCCCGGUUAACUCCUGACCAUCUGGAAUUGGAAAGGAACUUCUCUGCCUUCCAUCCAGGGGGCACAUUAUUUUGUGGGACCUAAAGCUUAUCCAUCCAAGGAGUGGCGCUUAUUAAGAAAAAGAAUACAGGCUGGGCGCGGUGACUCACGCCUGUAACCCCAGUACUUUGGGAGGCUGAGGCGGGAGGAUUGCUUGAGCCCAGGAGUUCAAGACCAGCCUGGGCAACAUGGCAAAACCCCAUCUCUACAAAAAAUACAAAAAUUAGCCUGGCAUGCUGGCACACGCCUGUAGUCCCAGCUACUCAGGAGGCUUGAGGUGGAAGGAUCACUAGAGGCCAGGAGGUCAAGGCUGCAGUGAGCCGUAAUCGUGCCACUGUACUCCAGCCUGCGUGACAGAGUGAGACCCCCCAUUUCAAAAAAAAAAAAAAGGAAUAUGAAUUUAUAAAUACAAAAUUAGGGACAACAUUGAACACUUAUUUAAAACGAGAAAAGAAAUCACAGCAAAUUACAGAUUUUAAAAAGCUGACAAAUAUCACAAGUAAUACAUAAUACAGAAAAACAGUCGUGAUAAUUUUUUUACCUUUUUUGGCUGACACUCUUUGAUAUCCUUUUCAGAUGUCAACGGUUUUGAAUAUUUUCCACAGUGAGAAUCAAAAGCUAAUUCAAUCUUGUUUUAGCAUGGGUGAUCAAAAUGUGUUUUGUAUUGUUUUUAGAUGUUUCUUAGCUUCACAACUGAUUAUUGCUAAUGUCCUGUACAUUUUUCGGAUUGUUGUCAAAUUUUGAAGACCCCUCUCAAGUUGUUUUUCAUAUAUGAUUGGUGAGAUUUCAGGGCAUUUCAGCUUUUCUUGUGCAGUGAUUAAUCUGAAAUAGUCUUUGAAGCGAUAACACUCGUUAAUUCAUUAUUGUCAAUGUCCGUGCUGCAGUGGUUUUUCAAGAUGUAAGUUGUCUUCCUUGAUGUCAAACCAGCAAGAAAUUUAAAUAUUUCCCAAUAUGUUCAUAAAAUGUACUCCUCAUCAUGAAUUGGACGAUCAAAAAUCCAGGAGCCUACUGAUUUCUUCUAUUCCAAAUUGAUCUUUUCCUCUUAAUGAAUUGCUUUUGGUUACAAUUCAGUUCUCAGUUUCAAACUGAUUUCUGUUGAUUUCAAUAUUCAUCUUUUAUCCCAUCUGUUUCAUAUCCUGUUAAUUUUUACCUGAACUUUCUCUUAGUUCUUUAAGAAAUCAAUAAAUUUAAAGAUAACAAAAUAAGGUCCUCUUCAUUUCUCAACUUGUCACUCUAAUUCUCUCUCCUUGAAAUCCAGAAUUGGACCUGAGGGGCAAAUGCAGCUUCUGUGGGACUGGAUCCGAGGCAGGAGAACUUGGGCUUUGGAACUGGCUAUUCCUCCAGGAUGCAGGGGCAGAGGUGGCCCGUGUGCAAGACAGAAGGAUGGAGCCGAUGUACAGAGAGGAUCUGACCUGUGCCCUGGCUGGCUCGAAGGCUCCAUCUUUUGGGAGGAGACUGAAAACUGCUUCAGAAAGAUGCCAAGAGAAAGAACAAGAUCAUUUUCACCUUCUGACAUGAAAAACAGGAUGACGCAGCCAGGUGCCAGGCUUGCAGGCCAGGCUGUGGUCUGGAGACAGGAUCUUUCCACUUCCGUCUUUCCUCCUCCCUCACCUCUUUAAGUCCAGGACUGACUCUGCAGGGACCUCCUGUCUUGCACCCCCUCCAUGCAAGCCCCGAGCCUCGAGGCUGGAUGCUGGGUGGUAGGAAAGGGCUGUGAUUUGUGGAAAGUGCAGGAAACAUCUGCCUUGUUCUGGACCCAGGGGACUGUGGGAAGGAAAGGGGGAGGGAGGAGAGUGGAGCCAGCUGAUGUGUGUCCCAGAUGUUCCGUCUUUGGGCUUUUGGGCAAAGUGAGGGGGCCCUGGGAGGGACAGUCAGUGAGGUAUGAGACUCUGGCUCUGGGGGACACUGCCUGGAAGGCUGCCCUCCACUGCCUGGGGCACUGUCCUAUCAGCAUCUGCUGGAGUGACUGCCAGUGAAGCCAGGCAGAGGCUCUUCCCUUCCCAGUGCGGCCUGGAGGAAAGCGAACAGGCCUGCCCUGGGUGCGAGGGGUGACAGGGUAAGGCGACCUCAUAGCAAAUGCCAGGGGUCAAGGGCUGGCCAGGGGUCAGAGGGAUGGUGGGGCAGAGUCUCAUGGCCCACAGCCAGCGAGAUCCGGGUCGGCGAUGGCGACACCGUUUACUUGCCAGACUUCAGGCACACCUGGGGAAAGGUGCACGGGGGCACCACCUUGGUGGCCAGUUGAUGCCACCCAAGGACCAGCAUAGGGCCAAAGAUCACCCGAGGUCACCUGCCUCCUCCACAAAGAUGCCGUCUUAGGCAGAGAAGGUGGUUGGGAGAAAGCUUUCAUAUUCAAAUGAGAUUCCUGUUAUCCACCCAUAGAUAACCAGCUUAAAGCAGGGUAGGGCUAAAAGCUAAUAUUUUCCCCCAACCAGAUAAUCUGCUAUAAACAAAUAAAUUGCAUCUUCCAGCGGGGUUGCAUUGUGAGAUCCAGGACACAGGUGUUGUGGGGAGUUUUGACAUGCAGGGAAGUGACCCCCACAUGCAGCUGCAAAGUCCUUGGGGCUCCCCCAAGAAGGCGGGCCAGACACUUGGCAGGGACGAGGUGGGAGGCAGCUCACGGCUCGGGAAUCUCCAGGGCAUGGGCUCGCACAGGUGGGAAGCACCUGUGGGCGGCUCUCAAGCCCCCAUCUCAUUGGUGCCCACGGUGGGCGUCUCCCCACCUUCCAGCUCGGGCUCCUCGCGAAGCGCCUGUUGGAGCACAGUCCCC